Molecule: transfer RNA, 71 nt
Filed under: Marmota monax (woodchuck)
Lineage: Eukaryota; Metazoa; Chordata; Mammalia; Rodentia; Sciuridae
Description: tRNA.Ala
Rfam family: tRNA
About the family: Transfer RNA (tRNA) molecules are approximately 80 nucleotides in length. Their secondary structure includes four short double-helical elements and three loops (D, anti-codon, and T loops).
Source: RNAcentral
GGGGUUGUGGCUCAGUGAUAGAGUGCUCACCUAGCAUGUGUGAGGUACUGGGUUCAAUUCUCAGCACCACA